Non-coding RNA from Ophiobolus disseminans, 126 nucleotides. The record is from the annotation of a GenBank genome assembly. NCBI's taxonomy places the organism in Eukaryota, Fungi, Ascomycota, Dothideomycetes, Pleosporales, Phaeosphaeriaceae.
GCCCGGUUGGCACAAUUGGUUAGCGCGUGAGACUUUUAAUCUCAAGGCUGAGGGGUAAGCAGAUGUUUACCGCCACCAAUUAGUAACGCUCACUAACUUUCUCAAGUUCGAGUCCCUCAUCGGGCG